GACGAACGCUGGCGGCGUGCUUAACACAUGCAAGUCGAACGGAAAGGCCCUGCUUUUGUGGGGUGCUCGAGUGGCGAACGGGUGAGUAACACGUGAGUAACCUGCCCUUGACUUUGGGAUAACUUCAGGAAACUGGGGCUAAUACCGGAUAGGAGCUCCCGCUGCAUGGUGGGGGUUGGAAAGUUUCGGCGGUUGGGGUUGGACUCGCGGCUUAUCAGCUUGUUGGUGGGGUAGUGGCUUACCAAGGCUUUGACGGGUAGCCGGCCUGAGAGGGUGACCGGCCACAUUGGGACUGAGAUACGGCCCAGACUCCUACGGGAGGCAGCAGUGGGGAAUAUUGCACAAUGGGCGGAAGCCUGAUGCAGCAACGCCGCGUGCGGGAUGACGGCCUUCGGGUUGUAAACCGCUUUCGCCUGUGACGAAGCGUGAGUGACGGUAAUGGGUAAAGAAGCACCGGCUAACUACGUG
RNAcentral lists this ribosomal RNA (468 nucleotides) under uncultured bacterium. RNAcentral's name for it is "partial 16S ribosomal RNA". It matches the Rfam family "Bacterial small subunit ribosomal RNA", at positions 28 to 507 of the family's 1533-position model. The record is from RNAcentral.